This 87-nucleotide transfer RNA is filed under the name Blastopirellula marina. RNAcentral describes it as "tRNA-Leu". It matches the Rfam family "tRNA". Rfam says of the family: Transfer RNA (tRNA) molecules are approximately 80 nucleotides in length. Their secondary structure includes four short double-helical elements and three loops (D, anti-codon, and T loops). Lineage: Bacteria; Pseudomonadati; Planctomycetota; Planctomycetia; Pirellulales; Pirellulaceae. The record is from RNAcentral.
GCCGGAGUGGCGGAAUUGGCAGACGCGCUGGAUUCAAAAUCCAGUUCUCGCAAGGGAGUGUGGGUUCGAUUCCCACCUCCGGCACUA